GACCUGAAAGAUAGAGGGAGAAGCUGAACGGGAGAGAAGUGAAGGAAGGAGAGUGCAAAUAGAAUAUAUGAAGAUGUGGCUAAACAAUGAAAUAAAGAGAUGGGAUGAAGUAGAAGAAAAAUAGAGAGAAGAACAGGGAAACGGACAAAGGAGGGUUCAGAACGAACAGGAGAAAUAGAGGAGUAUGCGGAAAGAAAAUUAGAAAGGAGGUCAGGAGAAGAAAGGAGAUUGUAGAAGGUGGCGUUUUGAAAUUAUUUCAUUGACAAAGAUAGGGACUUUUGGGAGGGAAUAAACGAAUGGGAUAUAGUGAUUAUGUGUGAAACGUGGAUGGGUAAAAGGGAGUGGGAGGGUGUGAGAAGUAAGGCGAAGAAAGAAUACCUGUGGGAGGUAUAGUAUGCGGAAAGGAGAGGAAAGAAAGGAAGGGCGAUGGGGGGAAUGAUCAUAGGGGUAAGGAACGAAUUAAAAUGAUGAAAGUGGAAAGGGACGAGAAGGAAAAGGGAAUAGUAGCGAGGGAAAUAUGGCUAGGAAGAGAUGUAUGGAAUAUGAUAGGGAUGGAAAGACUGAAGGAAUGGAUGGACGAAAGGGAAAAGGGAGUAAGGGUUAUAAUUGAAGAAGAGACAAGAAGAUCGAAGGAUAAGAAAAUAGGUGAGCGAAAAAGACUGUGUCAAUUGUUGGGAGAGCUAGGGUGGGGGAUAAUGAACGGAGAUGUGAAAAGGGAUGAAGAGGGCGAAUUCAGGUGUACAGGAAAUGGAGAAUCGGUGAUUGUCUAUGUGAUUGGCAAUGAAGAGACUAGGAAAAGCGUGGAAAGGUUGGUCGUAGAGGAGAAAGUGGAGUCAGACCAUCAUCCAGUAGUAGUGUGGAUAGAGGGAGGAAAAGGGGAAGGUAGA
Hylaeus anthracinus is the source of this 887-nucleotide long non-coding RNA. RefSeq lists it as uncharacterized. NCBI's taxonomy places the organism in Eukaryota, Metazoa, Arthropoda, Insecta, Hymenoptera, Colletidae. The transcript has 3 exons. The record is from RefSeq and is a predicted model, not a curated record.